AGAGUUUGAUCCUGGCUCAGGACGAACGCUGGCGGCGUGCCUAAUACAUGCAAGUCGAACGAACUCUGGUAUUGAUUGGUGCUUGCAUCAUGAUUUACAUUUGAGUGAGUGGCGAACUGGUGAGUAACACGUGGGAAACCUGCCCAGAAGCGGGGGAUAACACCUGGAAACAGAUGCUAAUACCGCACAACAACUUGGACCGCAUGGUCCGAGUUUGAAAGAUGGCUUCGGCUAUCACUUUUGGAUGGUCCCGCGGCGUAUUAGCUAGAUGGUGGGGUAACGGCUCACCAUGGCAAUGAUACGUAGCCGACCUGAGAGGGUAAUCGGCCACAUUGGGACUGAGACACGGCCCAAACUCCUACGGGAGGCAGCAGUAGGGAAUCUUCCACAAUGGACGAAAGUCUGAUGGAGCAACGCCGCGUGAGUGAAGAAGGGUUUCGGCUCGUAAAACUCUGUUGUUAAAGAAGAACAUAUCUGAGAGUAACUGUUCAGGUAUUGACGGUAUUUAACCAGAAAGCCACGGCUAACUACGUGCCAGCAGCCGCGGUAAUACGUAGGUGGCAAGCGUUGUCCGGAUUUAUUGGGCGUAAAGCGAGCGCAGGCGGUUUUUUAAGUCUGAUGUGAAAGCCUUCGGCUCAACCGAAGAAGUGCAUCGGAAACUGGGAAACUUGAGUGCAGAAGAGGACAGUGGAACUCCAUGUGUAGCGGUGAAAUGCGUAGAUAUAUGGAAGAACACCAGUGGCGAAGGCGGCUGUCUGGUCUGUAACUGACGCUGAGGCUCGAAAGUAUGGGUAGCAAACAGGAUUAGAUACCCUGGUAGUCCAUACCGUAAACGAUGAAUGCUAAGUGUUGGAGGGUUUCCGCCCUUCAGUGCUGCAGCUAACGCAUUAAGCAUUCCGCCUGGGGAGUACGGCCGCAAGGCUGAAACUCAAAGGAAUUGACGGGGGCCCGCACAAGCGGUGGAGCAUGUGGUUUAAUUCGAAGCUACGCGAAGAACCUUACCAGGUCUUGACAUACUAUGCAAAUCUAAGAGAUUAGACGUUCCCUUCGGGGACAUGGAUACAGGUGGUGCAUGGUUGUCGUCAGCUCGUGUCGUGAGAUGUUGGGUUAAGUCCCGCAACGAGCGCAACCCUUAUUAUCAGUUGCCAGCAUUAAGUUGGGCACUCUGGUGAGACUGCCGGUGACAAACCGGAGGAAGGUGGGGAUGACGUCAAAUCAUCAUGCCCCUUAUGACCUGGGCUACACACGUGCUACAAUGGAUGGUACAACGAGUUGCGAACUCGCGAGAGUAAGCUAAUCUCUUAAAGCCAUUCUCAGUUCGGAUUGUAGGCUGCAACUCGCCUACAUGAAGUCGGAAUCGCUAGUAAUCGCGGAUCAGCAUGCCGCGGUGAAUACGUUCCCGGGCCUUGUACACACCGCCCGUCACACCAUGAGAGUUUGUAACACCCAAAGUCGGUGGGGUAACCUUUUAGGAACCAGCCGCCUAAGGUGGGACAGAUGAUUAGGGUGAA
RNAcentral lists this ribosomal RNA (1511 nucleotides) under Lactiplantibacillus plantarum. Its description in RNAcentral is "partial 16S ribosomal RNA". It matches the Rfam family "Bacterial small subunit ribosomal RNA". The record is from RNAcentral. Lineage: Bacteria; Bacillati; Bacillota; Bacilli; Lactobacillales; Lactobacillaceae.